This is a long non-coding RNA of Sapajus apella (tufted capuchin), 3769 nucleotides long. RefSeq lists it as uncharacterized. The transcript has 2 exons. NCBI's taxonomy places the organism in Eukaryota, Metazoa, Chordata, Mammalia, Primates, Cebidae. The record is from RefSeq and is a predicted model, not a curated record.
ACCAAAAUUCCUUUGACUUUCUACUUCAAUCAUUAACAGCAAACUGGAGAAAUAAACUAUAAUAUAUUCAGACUAUGUAGUAUAGUAUUACUUCAGCAAUGAAACAAAUGUUGAAAUGAUGGCUAAGAAAAAGAAAAAAGAAACAGUCAUAUUUCAAACACCACAGACAACUUGAUCCAAUUUUUAUAAAGGAAAAGAAAACUUAUUUUGGGUUAGGCAUAUUCAAAAAUCACAAAAGUAUCUUUCUAGAGUUUAGGAUGAUAGGGGACUUUCAUAUGCCUGUAACAAUUAAAAUUUUAUAAUAAGUAUGUAUUUCUUUUAUAAACAGGGAACAGUGAAAACUGUCUUUUAUAGAAAAAGAAAAGAACAAAUUCCUAUUUCAAUUUAAGGGUAUAUAAGCAGUAGUUUCAUGGUUAAAAUUAGCCUUGUUUUAAUCACACAUCUCUAUGUGUCUUAAAUAUCAUAAAAUUAUUUAAUGUUUAAACAGACAUGGCACAUUUUAGAUAAUAAAUUGUGUGCCUGAGGGGAGGAUAAGGGAUCAGCUGAUAGAGGGGAGAUCUCGAAGUUUCACAGACUCCUAUUUCAAAUUCUAUGGUAAAAGUGAGUAACCACCUAUUUUGUGUCAAGUAACUCUGGAUAUUUAUGUAGAUGUUUUGCUUAGGCUGAAAUGGGGACGAUUUUAAAAACUCUUAGCAGCUGUACAAUUUUCACAUUAAGCAGAACUGAGAUAACAGCUUUUAGGAUAAGCUGAAUAGAGAAUAACAUCUCAUACACAGUUAAAUUUAAUGUUUUUUCAAUUAAAUAUCAAAUAGGCAUUUCUUCUAGCAUAAUAUCCCUCUAUGUCUUAUCUAUUAUUUUGUUAAAUGGUUAAACUAUGUUAAAAAUAUAGGUUGUGGCUACAUAUUAAGUGUUCUAUUACCUGAGCAACGUAAUUAUUUAAUCAGAUAGUUUAAAUAGCAGUUUCUCUCCCACUGAAAUACCACCUGUUCCUAUCCUUUCUUACUCUCCUGUGGCUCACUUCUUCCUUUGAGGGGCUUACUCUCAGAGGAGACAGCGAACAAAGUCAGAUGUAAGUCAGUGGCAUUCAAUUCAGUAAAUAGAAUCCAUGGCGUUUCUCCAGCAAAGUUCCCAACACAAAAUCCUCCACUAUAUCCAAUGUCCAGCUCCUCCUUCCACUUUAUAAGGGGUGUAUUCUCUCUGUAAUUCCUAGCUUUGCCACACUGUGGUACCCAAGGCCUGGCUUACUGGUGUCAACGUUGCACUUGAAAUAUAGGAAGUGAUUUCUUCAUUUAUAUGCACCUCUAAUAGAGAGUGUUACUGUUGAUUUUUUUCAGCAUAGUCUUCUAUUCUGAGCACUGCACUUACCCUUAUGGUUUUAGGACAUCACUGACAAGAGAAGAGGAAAGCCAGAGCUGAUAUUUGGAUAGGUUCUUUCCGGCCUUGUUCCUCUGUUUCAGACAAAGAGAAAUUUCAGUCAACUGUUUUUCACUAGUCUAAAAAAGCAUAAAUAUAAAAAUAAACUCAUUGUUUCUUCCAGAUAAUGAUGUGUUGAUACAUUCAGAUAGCUUCUUAGGUUAUUAUUACUGUAGGCCCAAAAGCAGGUCAUUUGACAAAAACUUUGGGCUCUCUUACCCGGUAAAAAUAGUUCCGCCACUUGACUGGGAGGCCCAGCAAUCAGAACUGUGAUUCCAAUGUAGAAGAGAAGGAACCAGCUCUUAUUGAAUGCUUACUAUGUGCUGGGAACUGUUUUAAACACUUCUGCUUUAAGCAUUCCUACUUAAUACUCAUAUCAACCUUAUGAGGUCUUAUGAAAUUCCUCUUAUAAAUGAGGAACAUAAAAUUAAGUAAAUUUCCCAAAGACACAUAGGAAGAUUCAGAGUAAGGAUCUGAAUCCUGUGCCAAAACCACUGACUGUUAUCACUAUGUGUUCUCUCUUGCUUCCAUUCACUCUGGUGUCCUCGCGACAAUCUUUUCGACCAAGUAUUUUAACUACAUUUUAUACCCGAGGACAUUACAGUGAAGGGAAGUAAAUACACCUGAGGACAUUAAAGUGAAGGGAAGUAAAGUAACUCUCCCACAAUUAGUAGCUAGUAAAUGACUAGAUUCAAGCAAUGAUCUACAGAGCUCAUUCUUUUUCCGAUAUAUCCCACUGCUGCAGGCUGUAGGGCUGGCCUCUUUACUCUGGAGCUCCAGGAGUUGGGUUUUGUUCAAGAGGGUCAUGAACUCUCUGAAACACAAAAUACUGUCUGGUUUUAGAUGAGGGUCCCUGGUUGGAUUCAGACUUUCAGUAGUUCAAUUAUAUUAAGAAAGCUAAUCCCACUUGCCCCUACUUUAAAGUUCUGUUGGAAGCUCCCUGAAGCAUGAGUUCAGUUGCAGUGGGCUUCAGAAGGGCUACUCUUAUUCCCAGACAUUUUUUUUAUACUAACUAGAUCUGAACGAGACACCUCAGGACUAUCCCUUCCUCCUUCUGCUCCUGAAUCCCACCACUUUGGAGGUUCAUUGGAACUCCCAAGUCUGAGUCUCUGUGAAAGAGGCAGGCCAAAAAUUUCUCUUAGAGCAGAGACUCCAUUUCAAAAGACACGGUCUUUAUAUCUUUGUCUUCAUCAUACACGUGGCAAAAAUUAAAGCUUGACAAAGUGUUAGUAACUGCUUAAUACACUUCAUGAUUGAUGGGAGGAGCCUUGUAGGGGACAUAGUGUAAAUGGGUGGAGAAACUUGUCCUGAAAUAUGGUACCACAUGCUGGGGGAGAUGCCCAGCCAGAACAGCAUAUCCAAUAGAGUAGAAUGACAUCAGCCCACGUGGAGCCAUGAGAGACUCAGAACAUUUCUCUCUCCUAGCUUGAUGUCAUAAUGAUGCCUGAAGUUCCUCAGCUGAUGAUUUAUAUAUUAAUCCUAAAGCUUAAGCCUAAUGGUUUGUGAAUCUGAGACUUUUACAGUUGGCUCACAUAAAACAAGCCUGAGACAUGUAGGAGAGCUGAUAUUUGGGGAAGACAAACUUAUUGUUUUCAUGUGUAUUUGUUCUGUUACCACUUCUCCCUCAUCUACCACCAACUAGAUGAUGGUGUGACAGAAGACAUAAGCCCUGAAUAAAGUUUCUAGCCUAAAAGUGCACAUUUUUGAGGGCUUAUCCCCUCUAAGUCCUCAAUUGUUUAAUAAUUAUUUUAUAAAUAUAUAGUUUCUUGGCAUAAUUUGCCAUAAUUUCAUGAUUAAAAAGAUAUAGAGGUACCACACUUUUAAAGAAUUAACUCAUUGCCUUUGCUCGAUCUAUUAUGGCCCUCCCUCAAAUUUAAAAAUAUAUACAAAUUUGAAAAAUCACCCAUCUGUGACCCUUAAUUUUCUUUUUUUAAAAAAUAAGCAUUUUAGGUUAGAUAAUUGCAAAGAUCCCUUCUAUUCCCCAUACUUAGUAUUCUAUAGACUAGGAAACAAUUGCAGCACUUACAACUUUUUAUGAUGUCCCAAAUUGCAAAGCAUAAUGAAAUACCACUCGCCAUUCUCCACAAAGUGAAAUUUUUCUUAUGGUCAAUGACUUUAGUUUUUAUUUCCAAAUGAUAUAGUGUGUUUUCAAGAGGCUUUUCAUAUCAAAUCUAUAUAAGCAGACGUCCUGAUGCAAUUUAAAUUAAUACUGACAACUCAGAAAUCUCCCUAAUGCCCUAGCAAUGAUAUAUACCUGUCAGAUUCCCUGCCAUCUCUAAUGACCUCAACUUAUAGUGAUUGAUCAUUUGAUGGAAAUUUCUCUGCCAUAUCCCUGAAAAAAACAAAAAAGAUGAUG